UACGUAGGGGGCAAGCGUUGUCCGGAAUCAUUGGGCGUAAAGAGCGUGUAGGCGGCUCGGUAAGUCCGCUCUGAAAGCCCGGGGCUCAACCCCGGGAGGCGGGCGGAUACUGUCGGGCUAGAGUCCGGAAGAGGCGAGUGGAAUUCCUGGUGUAGCGGUGAAAUGCGCAGAUAUCAGGAGGAACACCUAUUGCGAAGGCAGCUCGCUGGGACGUUACUGACGCUGAGACGCGAAAGCGUGGGGAGCAAACAGG
This 253-nucleotide ribosomal RNA is filed under the name uncultured bacterium. RNAcentral describes it as "partial 16S ribosomal RNA". It matches the Rfam family "Bacterial small subunit ribosomal RNA", at positions 524 to 776 of the family's 1533-position model. The record is from RNAcentral.